CCUACGGGGGGCAGCAGUGAGGAAUAUUGGUCAAUGGACGAGAGUCUGAACCAGCCAAGUAGCGUGAAGGAUGACUGCCCUAUGGGUUGUAAACUUCUUUUAUAUGGGAAUAAAAUGUUCCACGUGUGGGAUUUUGUAUGUACCAUAUGAAUAAGGAUCGGCUAACUCCGUGCCAGCAGCCGCGGUAAUACGGAGGAUCCGAGCGUUAUCCGGAUUUAUUGGGUUUAAAGGGAGCGUAGGUGGAUUGUUAAGUCAGUUGUGAAAGUUUGCGGCUCAACCGUAAAAUUGCAGUUGAAACUGGCAGUCUUGAGUACAGUAGAGGUGGGCGGAAUUCGUGGUGUAGCGGUGAAAUGCUUAGAUAUCACGAAGAACCCCGAUUGCGAAGGCAGCUUACUGGACUGCAACUGACAUUGAGGCUCGAAAGUGUGGGUAUCAAACAGGAUAAGAUACCCGAGUAGUC
Molecule: ribosomal RNA, 460 nt
Filed under: uncultured bacterium
Lineage: Bacteria
Description: partial 16S ribosomal RNA
Rfam family: Bacterial small subunit ribosomal RNA
Source: RNAcentral